GCUGAUGUCACUGGGCACUGCUCUGACCUACAUGCUAACUUGCUCUCCCAAAAUUGACUAGAAGCUGAAGUUUCCUUUCCAAGAGUCUCUCCUGUGACACAAGGGAAACCCUUCAGCACCCCCUCCUACCAAAGCUAGAAAUUUCUCUCUGCUUCAUUAGGAGUAAAGUACUUUGGAUGGAUAGAGUUCAUUGGGCCUUGUUCUCAGGUCCAGACGUGAAGAUGAGAGAGGUUGAACCAUGAUCCUGUAUUCAUUCCAGACAAGACUCAGGAGGAGGGGCAGGGAGUGAAGGCCUGAGGUCCAAUGAAACCAGAGUGCUACCUGUGAGCACCAGGACCUCAUGCCUUGUUCAUGCUGGUGGCUUUGUCAACUUCACAAGGUCUGGAAUCCUCUGAGAGAUGAGCCUCUGGCCAUGCCUGUGUGGGGCUAUUUUGAUUAUGUUACUUGUGGUGGGAAAACCCACCCACUAUCGGUGGCACCCUUCACUAGGCUGGAAUCCUGGACUGUACAAAAAGGAAAAGGGGAGGUGAGCACAAGCCUUCAUCUCCCUUUGCUUCCUAACUGCAGAAUCAAUGUGACCAGCUGUCUCGAUGCCUGAUGCCAUGACAUCUCGGUCACAGUGGAAUAUAUUCUAGAAAUACGAGAUAAAAUAAAACCUUUCUCCCUUUCCUGGGGAUGUUUUAUCAGAGCAAAAAGAAAAAAAAUAAAGAAAAGUUAUAACGAGUCUUCAUAUUCUUCACGUACCAUGACGGUCUUAGAUUCUACCUAUUGUGACAUUCCUUUAG
Long non-coding RNA from Peromyscus maniculatus bairdii (prairie deer mouse), 785 nucleotides. RefSeq lists it as uncharacterized. The record is from RefSeq and is a predicted model, not a curated record. Lineage: Eukaryota; Metazoa; Chordata; Mammalia; Rodentia; Cricetidae.